RNAcentral lists this ribosomal RNA (421 nucleotides) under uncultured bacterium. RNAcentral's name for it is "partial 16S ribosomal RNA". It matches the Rfam family "Bacterial small subunit ribosomal RNA", at positions 360 to 773 of the family's 1533-position model. The record is from RNAcentral.
AAUAUUGGACAAUGGGGGCAACCCUGAUCCAGCCAUGCCGCGUGAGUGAAGAAGGUCUUUGGAUUGUAAAGCACUUUAUGGUGGGAGGAAGGGCAUUAGGCUAAUACCCUCAAGUUCUGACGUUACCAACAGAUUAAACACCGGCUAACUCUGUGCCAGCCGCCGCGGUAAUACAGAGGGUGCAAGCGUUAAUCGGAAUUACUGGGCGUAAAGCGCGCGUAGGUGGUUCAGUAAGAUGGGUGUGAAAUCCCCGGGCUUAACCUGGGAACUGCUUUCAUAACUGCUGAGCUAGAGUACGGUAGAGGGUAGUGGAAUUUCCUGUGUAGCGGUGAAAUGCGUAGAUAUAGGAAGGAACACCAGUGGCGAAGGCGACUACCUGGACUGAUACUGACACUGAGGUGCGAAAGCGUGGGGAGCAAAC